This 465-nucleotide ribosomal RNA is filed under the name Vreelandella stevensii. RNAcentral describes it as "partial 16S ribosomal RNA". It matches the Rfam family "Bacterial small subunit ribosomal RNA", at positions 338 to 795 of the family's 1533-position model. The record is from RNAcentral. Lineage: Bacteria; Pseudomonadati; Pseudomonadota; Gammaproteobacteria; Oceanospirillales; Halomonadaceae.
CCUACGGGGGGCAGCAGUGGGGAAUAUUGGACAAUGGGGGCAACCCUGAUCCAGCCAUGCCGCGUGUGUGAAGAAGGCCCUCGGGUUGUAAAGCACUUUCAGUGAGGAAGAACGCCUGGUGGUUAAUACCCAUCAGGAAAGACAUCACUCACAGAAGAAGCACCGGCUAACUCCGUGCCAGCAGCCGCGGUAAUACGGAGGGUGCGAGCGUUAAUCGGAAUUACUGGGCGUAAAGCGCGCGUAGGUGGCUUGAUAAGCCGGGUGUGAAAGCCCCGGGCUCAACCUGGGAACGGCAUCCGGAACUGUCAAGCUAGAGUGCAGGAGAGGAAGGUAGAAUUCCCGGUGUAGCGGUGAAAUGCGUAGAGAUCGGGAGGAAUACCAGUGGCGAAGGCGGCCUUCUGGACUGACACUGACACUGAGGUGCGAAAGCGUGGGUAGCAAACAGGAUUAGAUACCCUUGUAGUC